RNAcentral lists this ribosomal RNA (639 nucleotides) under uncultured Nitrospira sp. RNAcentral describes it as "bacterial SSU rRNA". It matches the Rfam family "Bacterial small subunit ribosomal RNA", at positions 32 to 674 of the family's 1533-position model. The record is from RNAcentral. Lineage: Bacteria; Pseudomonadati; Nitrospirota; Nitrospiria; Nitrospirales; Nitrospiraceae.
AACGCUGGCGGCGCGCCUAAUACAUGCAAGUCGAGCGAGAAGGUGUAGCAAUACACUUGUAAAGCGGCGAACGGGUGAGGAAUACAUGGGUAAUCUACCAUCGAGUGGGGAAUAACCAACCGAAAGGUUGGCUAAUACCGCGUACGCUUCCGAGUCUUCGGGGUUGGAAGGAAAGCCGUGCUGUGAGUACGGCGCUCUUUGAUGAGCUCAUGUCCUAUCAGCUCGUUGGUAGGGUAACGGCCUACCAAGGCUUUGACGGGUAGCUGGUCUGAGAGGACGAUCAGCCACACUGGCACUGCGACACGGGCCAGACUCCUACGGGAGGCAGCAGUAAGGAAUAUUGCGCAAUGGGCGAAAGCCUGACGCAGCGACGCCGCGUGGGGGAUGAAGGUCUUCGGAUUGUAAACCCCUUUCGGGAGGGAAGAUGGAGCGAGCAAUCGUUCGGACGGUACCUCCAGAAGCAGCCACGGCCAACUUCGUGCCAGCAGCCGCGGUAAUACGAAGGUGGCAAGCGUUGUUCGGAUUCACUGGGCGUACAGGGUGUGUAGGCGGUUUGGUAACCUUCUGUUAAACUUCGGGCCCACCCGGAAAGCCAUGGGUACUGCCAGCUAAAGGUGGAAAAAACCCGGAAUUCCCGGU